AAUGUAGGUGGUGACGUAAGUCAGAUGUGAAAGCCCUGGGCUUAACCUGGGAAGUGCAUUUGAUACUGCGUUGCUAGAGUAUGAGAGAGGAAAGCGGAAUUUCCAGUGUAGGAGUGAAAUCCGUAGAUAUUGGAAGGAAUACCGAUGGCGAAGGCAGCUUUCUGGCUCGUAACUGACACUGAGAUUCGAAAGCGUGGGUAGCAAACA
This 207-nucleotide ribosomal RNA is filed under the name uncultured bacterium. RNAcentral describes it as "partial 16S ribosomal RNA". It matches the Rfam family "Bacterial small subunit ribosomal RNA", at positions 568 to 774 of the family's 1533-position model. The record is from RNAcentral.